ACACAGAGUGCCUAGAGGGAAGGAAAGGAGACACAUGGGGUGAAAGGAGACACAUAGAGGGGCUGGUGGAAGAAAGGAGACAAAUUGGGAGUUCUGGGGGAGGAAAGGAGACAAAUUGGGAGUUCUGGGGAAGGAAAGGAGACACAUUGGGAGGCUGGGGGAGGAAAGGAGACACAUUGGAAGGCUGGGGGAGAAUGAGACAUGG
Molecule: non-coding RNA, 205 nt
Organism: Pelobates cultripes (western spadefoot toad)
Lineage: Eukaryota; Metazoa; Chordata; Amphibia; Anura; Pelobatidae
Source: the annotation of a GenBank genome assembly